Hyla sarda is the source of this 783-nucleotide long non-coding RNA. RefSeq lists it as uncharacterized. The record is from RefSeq and is a predicted model, not a curated record. Lineage: Eukaryota; Metazoa; Chordata; Amphibia; Anura; Hylidae. The transcript is spliced from 3 exons.
CACCACGCUGCUGCCCUGGCAACGGAGGAUGCGGCGAGCGCGGGGAGGGGAGAGCAAUGGAUCGCAGAGACCCCGAGCGACUGUGUGGGCUCAGAGUGUCACUGCAGGAGAAAAGAAGUACCUGUAGAAUUUAUGAAGAAUAAAUGUGAGGAAAAAGAACGAAGCCGAAAAAUAAGGAAAUUGCUGCUGACAGCAUAUUGCCUCAAAUUAAUUUAUAGACAAGGCAGGAGAAAAAAUGCUUUGUGCCGUUCCUUUUUUUUUUUUUUUUUUUUUUAUGUGUUUCCCUGAACUAAUUAUCAGAGCCAAAUUCUCGGAAAUAAUUAGAUUUUCUUGUUUGCCCGGGAUUCGCGAGAUACUUGCGUGGAAAAGUAGAUAUUAUCAGAAAGGACUUUAACAAAGCUAUGUAGGACAGCAGGAAUGCACAGGAGCGCGCGUCCCACUGUUUUAUAGACUGCGAGAAAAAAAAAUGGCUUCAAAUAACUCCGCUCGGCUUUUAUCGAGAUGUGACUCAUAUUUCAGCAAAACGCUUCAAAACGAGCGGAAUUAAGGCCUUCAUCCUUUUUUUUUUUUUUCCCGGAGAACGGAGAAGAUGAGGUAAAUUCAUCACCCAGCUGCACCGCUCACAUGUAAAAUUAAUAGGCCUCCUCGGAAUUGCAUUUCAUUAACUAAUAUUUAAUUACAAUUUUACAAUAUAAAUUAAACGUUCAUUAAAAAAAAAGCCUCUCAUUCUGUGUUUUCUUGAUGGUCGCGUUAACCGGAAAGGAUUAUAGGAUAUCCCCCUGC